This 1057-nucleotide small RNA is filed under the name uncultured SAR276 cluster bacterium. RNAcentral's name for it is "bacterial SSU rRNA". The stretch from base 1 to 571 matches the Rfam family "Bacterial small subunit ribosomal RNA", at positions 962 to 1533 of the family's 1533-position model. The record is from RNAcentral. Lineage: Bacteria; Deltaproteobacteria.
CGAAGAACCUUACCUGGGUUUGACAUCCCCGGCCGACAUCAGAGAUGGUGUUUUCUCUUCGGAGACCGGGUGACAGGUGCUGCAUGGCUGUCGUCAGCUCGUGUCGUGAGAUGUUGGGUUAAGUCCCGCAACGAGCGCAACCCUUGCCCUCAGUUGCCAGCAGUUCGGCUGGGCACUCUGGGGGGACUGCCGGUGACAAGCCGGAGGAAGGUGGGGAUGACGUCAAGUCCUCAUGGCCUUUAUAUCCAGGGCUACACACGUGUUACAAUGGGGGUCACAAAGGGCAGCGAAACGGUGACGUGGAGCGAAUCCCAAAAAAGCCCUCUCAGUUCGGAUCGCAGUCUGCAACUCGACUGCGUGAAGCUGGAAUCGCUAGUAAUCGCGGAUCAGCACGCCGCGGUGAAUACGUUCCCGGGCCUUGUACACACCGCCCGUCACACCAUGGGAGUUGACAGGGGCAGAAGCCGCCAAGCCAACCUUCGGGAGGCAGGCGUCCAAGCUCCGGUUGAUGACUGGGGUGAAGUCGUAACAAGGUAGCCGUAGGAGAACCUGCGGCUGGAUCACCUCCUUUCUAAGGACGUCGGAGAUGCUUUUAAAGUAUUCCGAGAGUCAAAGUCGACUCAGGCUCCUCAACAAGCUGUUUGGAUCAGAUUUAAAAGCUGGAAUCUGCGCUUAGGGCCUGUAGCUCAGCUUGGUUAGAGCGCAUCCCUGAUAAGGAUGAGGCCGGUGGUUCAAGUCCACCCAGGCCCACCACACACGGGGGAUUAGCUCAGUUGGGAGAGCGCCUGCCUUGCAAGCAGGAGGUCAGCGGUUCAACUCCGCUAUCCUCCACCACAGUGGAGCGAUUGGAGUCUCUUUUUUAAGGAGAUUGUUUUCGUUUCAUUCUUGUUCUUAGACAUUUCAUUUUAGCGAUUUUUUAGAUGAGAGACCCGAGAUCAGUGUUGAGGGUUUCUCAGGGUUGACAGUAAAACUGCAAGUCAAGCAGAAAGGGCACAAGGCGGAUGCCUUGGCUCCGGGAAGCGAAGAAGGACGCGGCCAGCUGCGAUAACUGGGAGAU